GAUGAACGCUGGCGGCGUGCCUAAUACAUGCAAGUCGGGCGAACAGACGAGGAGCUUGCUCCUCUGACGUUAGCGGCGGACGGGUGAGUAACACGUGGAUAACCUACCUAUAAGACUGGGAUAACUUCGGGAAACCGGAGCUAAUACCGGAUAAUAUAUUGAACCGCAUGGUUCAAUAGUGAAAGACGGUUUUGCUGUCACUUAUAGAUGGAUCCGCGCCGCAUUAGCUAGUUGGUAAGGUAACGGCUUACCAAGGCAACGAUGCGUAGCCGACCUGAGAGGGUGAUCGGCCACACUGGAACUGAGACACGGUCCAGACCCCUACGGGAGGCAGCAGUAGGGAAUCUUCCGCAAUGGGCGAAAGCUUGACGGAGCAACGCCGCGUGAGUGAUGAAGGUCUUCGGAUCGUAAAACUCUGUUAUUAGGGAAGAACAAAUGUGUAAGUAACUAUGCACGUCUUGACGGUACCUAAUCAGAAAGCCACGGCUAACUACGUG
This 497-nucleotide ribosomal RNA is filed under the name uncultured bacterium. RNAcentral describes it as "partial 16S ribosomal RNA". It matches the Rfam family "Bacterial small subunit ribosomal RNA", at positions 28 to 507 of the family's 1533-position model. The record is from RNAcentral.